Molecule: transfer RNA, 77 nt
Filed under: Binataceae bacterium (SeqCode)
Lineage: Bacteria; Candidatus Binatota; Binatia (SeqCode); Binatales (SeqCode); Binataceae (SeqCode)
Description: tRNA-Arg
Rfam family: tRNA
About the family: Transfer RNA (tRNA) molecules are approximately 80 nucleotides in length. Their secondary structure includes four short double-helical elements and three loops (D, anti-codon, and T loops).
Source: RNAcentral
GCGCCGCUAGCUCAGCGGAUUAGAGCAACGGACUACGGAUCCGUAGGUCGGGGGUUCAAAUCCCUCGCGGCGCACCA